This 468-nucleotide ribosomal RNA is filed under the name uncultured bacterium. Its description in RNAcentral is "partial 16S ribosomal RNA". It matches the Rfam family "Bacterial small subunit ribosomal RNA", at positions 28 to 507 of the family's 1533-position model. The record is from RNAcentral.
GACGAACGCUGGCGGCGUGCUUAACACAUGCAAGUCGAACGGAAAGGCGCUGCUUUUGUGGGGUGCUCGUGUGGCGAACGGGUGAGUAACACGUGAGUAUCCUGCCCUUGACAUUGUGAUAUCUUCAGGAAACUGCGGCUCAUACCGGGUAGGAGAUCCUGCAGCAUGGUGGGGGUUGGAAAGUUUCGGCGGUGCGGGAUGGACUCGCGGCUUAUGAGCUGGUUUGGGGGGUUGGGGCAUACCAAGGCUAUGAGGGGUAGGCGGCCUGUGAGGGUGACCGGCCACAUUGGUACUGAGAUACGCCGCAGACGCGUAUGGGAGGCAGCAGUGGGGAGUAUUACACAGUGGGCGGAAGCCAGAUGCGGCGACGCCGCGUGCGGGAAAACGGGCUUCGGGUUGUAAACCGAUUUGGCAUGAGACGAGGAGAGAGUGACGGUACUGGGUAAAGAAGCAACGGCUAACUACGUG